GGUCAUUUAGAGGAAGUAAAAGUCGUAACAAGGUCUCCGUAGGUGAACCUGCGGAGGGAUCAUUAACGAGUGAGGGUCGUCCAGGCCCGACCUCCCAACCCUUUGUUUACCGAACCUCUGUUGCUUCGGCGGACCCGCCUCACGGCCGCCGGAGGACCGUCGCAAGGCGUCCUCUGGCCCGCGUCCGCCGAUGGCCAACCUCUCAAACCCUGAACCAACCGUGUCGUGUGUCUCAGUUUAUGAUUAAAUUAAAAGCAAAACUUUCAACAACGGAUCUCUUGGUUCCGGCAUCGAUGAAGAACGCAGCGAAAUGCGAUAAGUAAUGCGAAUUGCAGAAUUCCAGUGAGUCAUCGAAUCUUUGAACGCACAUUGCGCCCUUUGGUAUUCCGAAGGGCAUGCCUGUUCGAGCGUCAUUAUCACCCCUCGGGCCCUGUGCUCGGUGUUGGACGGCCGGUUCGGGCGACCGAACCCCUCCUAAAGACAAUGACGGCGGCCUGUCGGUUCCCCCGGUACACUGAGCUUUUUACGAGGCACGUGCCGGACGAGGGCGCCCAGGACCCGGUCCUCUCCUCUCAGCAGGAAACUUCCCAAUGGUUGACCUCGGAUCAGGUAGGAAUACGCGCUGAACUUAAGCAUAUCAAUAAGCG
This 647-nucleotide ribosomal RNA is filed under the name uncultured fungus. RNAcentral's name for it is "eukaryotic LSU rRNA". The stretch from base 259 to 413 matches the Rfam family "5.8S ribosomal RNA". The record is from RNAcentral. Lineage: Eukaryota; Fungi.